This 21-nucleotide non-coding RNA is filed under the name Caenorhabditis elegans. The record is from RNAcentral. Lineage: Eukaryota; Metazoa; Nematoda; Chromadorea; Rhabditida; Rhabditidae.
UGUGUUAGUGUAGUGAUCAUU